This 1595-nucleotide ribosomal RNA is filed under the name Glomus sp. 1 SUN-2011. RNAcentral's name for it is "eukaryotic LSU rRNA". The stretch from base 744 to 1595 matches the Rfam family "Eukaryotic large subunit ribosomal RNA", at positions 1 to 694 of the family's 3401-position model. The record is from RNAcentral. Lineage: Eukaryota; Fungi; Glomeromycota; Glomeromycetes; Glomerales; Glomeraceae.
UAUUGCUCUUCAACGAGGAAUCCCUAGUAAGCACAAGUCAUCAGCUUGUGUUGAUUACGUCCCUGCCCUUUGUACACACCGCCCGUCGCUACUACCGAUUGAAUGGCUUAGUGAGACCUCCGGAUCGGCAUUCAGAAGUUGGCAACAACAUCUGUCUGCUGAAAAAUUGUUCAAACUUGGUCAUUUAGAGGAAGUAAAAGUCGUAACAAGGUUUCCGUAGGUGAACCUGCGGAAGGAUCAUUAAUGAUUUUUUAAGCAAACCAAGCUUUUUUUUUAUAAAAAGUGAGGUUUUGCGAACGUAUUUAAAACCCCCACUCUUUUAAAAAAAAUAUAUAUUUCAUCCAUAUCAAAUGAAUAAAAAAAAGAUCACUUUCAACAACGGAUCUCUUGGCUCUCGCAUCGAUGAAGAACGCAGCGAAAUGCGAUAGGUAGUGUGAAUUGCAGAUGUAACGUGAAUCAUCGAAUCUUUGAACGCAAAUUGCACUCUCUGGUAUUCCGGGGAGUAUGCCUGUUUGAGGGUCGCCAAAUCAACAUCGAAAUUCGUUUGCUUUUUGCAAAUGUUUAUCGGAUUUGAGCCGUCUUUUAUUUUUUUAAAGUGGCUUAAAAUUUAUUUCUUGGUAUCGAAAAACGUUAUUUUACGAUCAAAUUGAUCAAAAAACAAACGUUUCGAAUGCCAUCUUUUAAUGUAAUACGUUUGACUGUGUUACAAUCAUAGGUUCAUUCGUAUACGAUUUUUUAAUUUUUGACCUCAAAUCAGGUAAGAACACCCGCUGAACUUAAGCAUAUCAAUAAGCGGAGGAAAAGAAAAUAACAAUGAUUCCCCUAGUAACUGCGAGUGAAGAGGGACAAGCUCAAAUUUUAAAUCUGUUCGGUUGGUACUGACAGAGUUGUAAUUUAAAGAAACGUUUUCUGUGUCUUGAGUUAAUCAAAAUCCUUUGGAAUGAGGUAUCAUGGAGGGUGACAAUCCCGUUCAUGGUUAAUUCUAAGAUGCUUUAUGAUGCGUUUUCGAAGAGUCGAGUUGUUUGGGAUUGCAGCUCAAAAUGGGAGGUAAAUUUCUCCUAAGGCUAAAUAUCGGCGAGAGACCGAUAGCGAACAAGUACCGUGAGGGAAAGAUGAAAAGAACUUUGAAAAGAGAGUAAAAUAGUACGUGAAAUUGUUGAAAGGGAAACGAUUGAAGUCAGUCGUACCGACGAGAAAUCAGCUCUUUGAGUGCGAACUUGUGGGCGUGCGUGAGUCUUUAACGGGCCUCGCUGUUUGCAAUUUUGUGCUUUUUGGGUGUACUUUUUCGUAUGGUGGGCCAACGUCAGUUUCGAUCACCGUAAAAUGAUCGGAGGAAUGUAGCUUCGAUCUCGUAUUGAAGUGUUAUAGCCUCUGGUAGAUGCGGUGACCGAAACUGAGGAUUGCAACGAAUACCCUUUUGGGCUAUCCGUCUGGCCUCUGAAAGUUGCUUAGGUGCCGAAAGCGUGCUUACGGCUAUUUAAGUUGGCGGUCAACAGGUUAGAACGUGAUUACAUUCGUUAAGGACGUUGGCGUAAUGGCUUUAAACGACCCGUCUUGAAACACGGACCAAGGAGUCUAACAUGUAUGCGAGUGUU